Molecule: ribosomal RNA, 468 nt
Filed under: uncultured bacterium
Lineage: Bacteria
Description: partial 16S ribosomal RNA
Rfam family: Bacterial small subunit ribosomal RNA
Source: RNAcentral
GACGAACGCUGGCGGCGUGCUUAACACAUGCAAGUCGAACGGAAAGGCCCUGCUUUUGUGGGGUGCUCGAGUGGCGAACGGGUGAGUAACACGUGAGUAACCUGCCCUUGACUUUGGGAUAACUUCAGGAAACUGGGGCUAAUACCGGAUAGGAGCUCCUGCUGCAUGGUGGGGGUUGGAAAGUUUCGGCGGUUGGGGAUGGACUCGCGGCUUAUCAGCUUGUUGGUGGGGUAGUGGCUUACCAAGGCUUUGACGGGUAGCCGGCCUGAGAGGGUGACCGGCGACAUUGGGACUGAGAUACGGCCAAGACUCCAACGGGAGGCAGCAGUGGGGAAUAUUGCACAAUGGGCGGAAGCCUGAUGCAGCAACGCCGCGUGCGGGAUGACGGCCUUCGGGUUGUAAACCGCUUUCGCCUGUGACGAAGCGUGAGUGACGGUAAUGGGUAAAGAAGCACCGGCUAACUACGUG